UACGGAGGGUGCGAGCGUUGUCCGGAAUCAUUGGGCGUAAAGGGCGCGUAGGUGGUCUGAUAAGGGUGUGGUGAAAGUCCGGGGCUCAACCCCGGAUCUGCCGUGCCGACUGUCAGACUCGAGGACUGUAGAGGCAGGCGGAAUUCCGGGUGUAGCGGUGGAAUGCGUAGAGAUCCGGAGGAGACCGGUGGCGAAGGCGGCCUGCUGGGCAGUUACUGACACUGAGGCGCGACAGCGUGGGGAGCAACAGG
RNAcentral lists this ribosomal RNA (251 nucleotides) under uncultured bacterium. Its description in RNAcentral is "partial 16S ribosomal RNA". It matches the Rfam family "Bacterial small subunit ribosomal RNA", at positions 524 to 775 of the family's 1533-position model. The record is from RNAcentral.